CGCACAUUGCGCCCCUUGGCACUCCAGGGGGCAUGCCUGUUCGAGCGUCAUUGCAACCCUCAAGCGUAGCUUGGUAUUGAGCCUUCGCCUCCCGGGCGGGCUCGAAAAGCAUUGGCGGCUCGGCGCGACCUUUGGGCGUAAUAGAAUAUCUUCCGCCCUGAAAGUCUCGCGCCACGCCGGCCACGCCAAAAAAUGGGCGCGAUUUCCAGACGAUUGACCUCGGAUCAGGUAGGGAUACCCGCUGAACUUAA
This 251-nucleotide unclassified non-coding RNA is filed under the name Protoparmelia picea. Its description in RNAcentral is "partial contains 5.8S ribosomal RNA, internal transcribed spacer 2, and large subunit ribosomal RNA". Lineage: Eukaryota; Fungi; Ascomycota; Lecanoromycetes; Lecanorales; Parmeliaceae. The record is from RNAcentral.